CUCCUGGAUUAGCGGCGGACGGGUGAGUAAUGCCUAGGAAUCUGCCUGGUAGUGGGGGACAACGUUUCGAAAGGAACGCUAAUACCGCAUACGUCCUACGGGAGAAAGCAGGGGACCUUCGGGCCUUGCGCUAUCAGAUGAGCCUAGGUCGGAUUAGCUAGUUGGUGAGGUAAUGGCUCACCAAGGCGACGAUCCGUAACUGGUCUGAGAGGAUGAUCAGUCACACUGGAACUGAGACACGGUCCAGACUCCUACGGGAGGCAGCAGUGGGGAAUAUUGGACAAUGGGCGAAAGCCUGAUCCAGCCAUGCCGCGUGUGUGAAGAAGGUCUUCGGAUUGUAAAGCACUUUAAGUUGGGAGGAAGGGUUGUAGAUUAAUACUCUGCAAUUUUGACGUUACCGACAGAAUAAGCACCGGCUAACUCUGUGCCAGCAGCCGCGGUAAUACAGAGGGUGCAAGCGUUAAUCGGAAUUACUGGGCGUAAAGCGCGCGUAGGUGGUUUGUUAAGUUGGAUGUGAAAUCCCCGGGCUCAACCUGGGAACUGCAUCCAAAACUGGCAAGCUAGAGUAUGGUAGAGGGUGGUGGAAUUUCCUGUGUAGCGGUGAAAUGCGUAGAUAUAGGAAGGAACACCAGUGGCGAAGGCGACCACCUGGACUGAUACUGACACUGAGGUGCGAAAGCGUGGGGAGCA
This 690-nucleotide ribosomal RNA is filed under the name Pseudomonas sp. 6.2. Its description in RNAcentral is "bacterial SSU rRNA". It matches the Rfam family "Bacterial small subunit ribosomal RNA", at positions 84 to 770 of the family's 1533-position model. Lineage: Bacteria; Pseudomonadati; Pseudomonadota; Gammaproteobacteria; Pseudomonadales; Pseudomonadaceae. The record is from RNAcentral.